UACGGGGGGAGCAAGCGUUGUUCGGAAUCACUGGGCGUAAAGGGCGUGUAGGCGGUCAGGUAAGUGAGACGUGAAAUGCCCCGGCUUACCCGGGGACCUGCGUCUCAUACUGCUUGGCUUGAGUACGGGAGAGGGUGUGGGAAUUCCUGGUGUAGCGGUGAAAUGCGUAGAUAUCAGGAGGAACACCGGUGGCGAAGGCGCACACCUGGCCCGAUACUGACGCUGAGGCGCGAAAGCUAGGGGAGCAAACGGG
RNAcentral lists this ribosomal RNA (253 nucleotides) under uncultured bacterium. Its description in RNAcentral is "partial 16S ribosomal RNA". It matches the Rfam family "Bacterial small subunit ribosomal RNA", at positions 524 to 776 of the family's 1533-position model. The record is from RNAcentral.